This 74-nucleotide transfer RNA is filed under the name Planctomycetota bacterium. RNAcentral's name for it is "tRNA-Arg". It matches the Rfam family "tRNA". From Rfam's summary of the family: Transfer RNA (tRNA) molecules are approximately 80 nucleotides in length. Their secondary structure includes four short double-helical elements and three loops (D, anti-codon, and T loops). Further hydrogen bonds mediate the characteristic L-shaped molecular structure. tRNAs have two regions of fundamental functional importance: the anti-codon, which is responsible for specific mRNA codon recognition, and the 3' end, to which the tRNAs corresponding amino acid is attached (by aminoacyl-tRNA synthetases). tRNAs cope with the degeneracy of the genetic code in two manners: having more than one tRNA (with a specific anti-codon) for a particular amino acid; and 'wobble' base-pairing, i.e. permitting non-standard base-pairing at the 3rd anti-codon position. The record is from RNAcentral. Lineage: Bacteria; Pseudomonadati; Planctomycetota.
GCACCCUUAGCUCAGCUGGAUAGAGCAACGGAUUUCUAAUCCGUAGGUCGCAGGUUCGAAUCCUGCAGGGUGUA